Long non-coding RNA from Calidris pugnax (ruff), 6917 nucleotides. RefSeq lists it as uncharacterized. The record is from RefSeq and is a predicted model, not a curated record. NCBI's taxonomy places the organism in Eukaryota, Metazoa, Chordata, Aves, Charadriiformes, Scolopacidae. The transcript has 2 exons.
GCCCCCUUCAGGUACUGGAAGGGUUUUGAUGGGCUUGAUGAUCUCAAAGGUCCCUUCCAACCAUGGAUAUUCUGUGAUUCUGUGAUAGACUAAACCGAUGGGAGAAAGAAAAUCUUUGGGUGGCACACCAGUCUCAAAACAACCUGACUCCAAAAGAGUGUAAGCCUACUGCCUGCCUUUAAAAUGCCCCAAAAGGUUGAAAUAACCAGUCGUAACUACAUGAGAAGACUUCUCGUAGGAUGUCUUUUCAAAGACUCUUCCAAGGAAAAAUUGCACAUUUGAGGAUAUUUUGUAUCUUAAGUGGCCUCGGAAUGAAUGGAAUGGAUACAGCCAUGCUCAGUUGUGGUUAUACAAAUGAGACUCAUUCUACAAUAAGAAUAAUUGAUCUCAUUAAAGGAUUACAGCUCUGACCUGGGCCUUUUAUGCUUCAUGAAGCCAGACUAUACUAUACUAGUUUUACUGAGGGACUCAGUCAUAAGUUCAUAAGUUCAUUGGCAGCUUUUAGGUGUGUUUUGUUUUGGUUUUUUUUAAAAUAUAUGAACGUAGAUUUAUAUUCGAACAACCUAAAUAUAUAUAUAUACUUUACCUAGUAUGUCCAUUGUUGUGAAAAUGAAGCCCUGCAGUAACCAGCUGCCAUCUGCAUAGGGGUAAAGCCCUGUCAUGGCAACUCCUAAGUGUGUCAGUAUUUCAGGUAGUCUUACACACAUCUGUUUAUAAAGGCAAGAGAUGGUUACCAGUUUUUAUUUGUCUCCACAUUGUAUCGGCCAGAUAUUGUGAGCAGUGCAUGGCAGUUGCAUAUCUAUAAUACAGCAGGUCAAAAGCUUAAACAGGUUCUCUCUGUACAUUCAGUAAUGUUUCUAAUUGUAAUUAUCGCUAGUCAUUUGAAAUUGCAGUUGCAUUUUCUGAGCGUAAAGACAGCUUUGAAAAAAGAAAAAAAAAAAAAGAGCAUGCAUGAGAUACUGAGGAGGCCAGGAAAUUCUGCACUGAAGUAUUUAUACAGUUUAUUUAUUUAUUUAUCGUACACUAAGAGCUGAGCCCCUGCUUCAAGAAGACAUCUCCCCAUGCUGGCAGAUGAUUUAGGCAUCUAAAUUCGUUCCCCACCUAAAGCUAAGGUCAGGUUUUCCUGAAUCGGGGACCGAGCAGACUAAGCCAUUAAAAGCAUUGUACAAUCCUUUUGGGUGGCCACAAAUAGUGGCGAGACCUUCGCUGAUGCUUCUUGUAACUUAUAAGAGUUGAGAAGUUGAGGAACGCUGAGAGACCCAAAGAUGCUUCUGCAAUGCUCACCUCUUGAUCUUUAAGAGUAGAAAUAUACAAACAGCAGGUACUCUUUGCACUCUAAUGUGUGUUAAAUAUCACUGUCACGAGGUACCAUUUGCAAUAAUUAAAAUUCACAUUUCAUAAGAUACCAACAAGUAGGGUUUUUUUUUAAUUUAUUUAUUUUAUGGGGUCUGAAUUUUUAGUAAUUUUCUUUUAGCCAGGAAGUAAUCUUCCUUUGCCUGGUUUUCCCCAGCUCCCUUCAUAGUAAAGGGCUGUGGCUAAAUGUGAAGAGCUCUCUUUCAAACGGAUGGCGGGCGGUAGCAAAUGCUUGGGCGGAGCUGACGUUUAUUGCCCCAGCUUUAUGACGGGGUAAUUACCAUUUACAGUAGGCAAGGUUCUCCGCCUUGGGAUCCUGUAGUAAAAAUGGUCCCACCACUCCCAGAUGUGACACUUCCCUAUUUCUACUGCGUUGUUUCGGUUUCAAGGAGGUCAGGAGAUGUCCACUGUAGAAGACUACAUCACGUCAUUGCUAUGGCUGAGUGACAGUAGGGCUUGUUGUUGGGAAAUACAAGAACAACGACGGAGUCAUUUUACAGUCAGCAUAUUGGUGGGGGAAAGCUGGAAGCCUGUAUUUCAUGAACUGUUAAAGACUCGGGGAUUUUUCUGAUUAGAAAAGACAAAAUUGGAAGAUAAAGGCUGAUUGCAUAAAGUACUGCAUCAGUCUUUCGGAAAGGUUCGUAUAAUGUUCGAGAUUCACAUAAAGUGAGCUUCCACAUUCUGUCAAGCACAAAGCUCAGCCGAGUCGUUCUUCCUAAAUUCUCAGAAACAAUCCUUUUCUUUCAGUAGUUCUCACUGGUGAGUCAAAACCUCCGGGUGUAACAUACAUUUCUGUGACAUACGUUCCUGCAUCUCAGAAUUGUAUUGUGAAAUUGCACAAUGCUUAAGGUCAAAGGAGCAAGCACAGAGCUUGAACUACGACGAGCUCUUGAAAGAAGCCAAAGCAAGAUGUUUGGUGGAAUGACUUGACUCAGUUCUUAAGGAUUUCUUCAAAAAACAGAAAAUAGAAGCAAAGGAUACAAAGUAUGGUUCUGUUGUUAUUCAGCCCCCAUGGAGAGCGAGCGCAAACGAGAAUGAUGUGGCACCACAAAGAGCUGGUUAGUGUGUAAUUAAAAACUGGCAAGUUUUGCAGGGGUUUCAUUUACCCAGAGGUUUGUGCCCGGAUAUUAUUUGAUCUUUACAACUCUCGCCCUCCUGAUGAAAGGUAUUCCUUCCCAGUGAGAAAUACUGCAUCCCUUUAUCAGGGGGAGGGGAAGAGAUAUGCCAAAAACAAUGUCUCCAACUUGGUUCUUACCCAAGCUUCACAAGUAUGUGUUUUAUCUGUUCCACUAAUGGUUGUGUAAACCUGCUGGUAGCAACCCGCAUACCUGAGAGAUGAGCUGCUGUGCAGUGGACUUUGCCACGUGUUGAAGAUUUAGGGACAAAUUUUGCUUAAUGUUCCCUUGAGGAAUAGUUUGAUUGGCUUCACUGCCUGCCCUUCUGAAGCUGAGAGUCAUUACUAGGCCAUUAACGCAGACAGUAUUUGUAAGAGAUGACUAAAGGAGCGAUAGGUUCUGUUCAUCCUCACAUGGAGUGUUUUCAAGACUGAACCCAAACUAGGAAAUGUUUCUUGGGGGUUUGGGGACUUUUUUUUGCUGUCGAGGUCCUCCUGUGCGAUCCGAAAUCCUGUCGGUAAGGUUUGGUGAGGGUUCAGGUUCAUUAGUUCAGCGCAUCCCUCAGAGCUUCAGCCAACGGGGCCGCGCAGGAGGGCAGGACUGGUGCUUCUCUUCAGUCCAUGGUUCCUCUGGUGAGCAGCCCCGCGGGGUGAAGUUCACUUCUGCCUACAGCCCUGGCAAUGGGGGUUCCUACACUGGUACAUCAGCGUUUGGCUAGAACAAAAAGGUGAGCACACAGACCCAUUCAUCCUCAGGUACGUUGCACAACUUUCAGGGGCUCCUGCCCUCCCCUACAUCACUUCUUCCACCACCUCCUCCUCCUCUCCUCUUCCUCUUCCUCUCCUCCUCCUCUCCUCCUCCUCUUCCUCUUCCUUUUCCUCUUCCUCUCCUCCUCCUCUUCCUCCUCCUCUCCCUCCUCCUCUCCUCUUCCUCCUCCUCUUCCUCCUCCCCUGGCUCAUCUAGUUGUUGUUUGUUUUUUUUGACCAGCACUUUAGAUAGCUCCCAUUUAUGCACUAAAAAACGUGGCUGAAUUCUCAGAAGAGCUGGGCCCCUGCUCGCCACCAAAGGGCAAUGGGUGCUGUUGGGUGCAGGCUCUCUGAGAAACUUCCCCUUUGUUUUCUUUUCCUCGCGGGGGCUUUGUCCCCCCCCCCCAUGCCCCUGUGGUUGCAGUGAGUUUGCAGGUACGUACCCUGUAAGAGCGAGUCAGCAGGUGUAAGGACAGCUGGUUUCUUUGCACAAGGGCCACUUUUAGCCCCCUUUUUUCUUUUUUGUCAGAGCCAAGCCCAAACUGUCACAUUUACACGGUGGUGUCCCUGACCUAAUGAGCACCAUCAGAGGCAGCCCAGGUCUGCACCCUGCCAUCAGCUUUGCACCACCAGGGCAGGCGGGGAGAGACCCGGUGCCUGCAACUGGGGAAGGGGCAGUGGAGGGUGGUGUUUAAAUCAUCUCGUGGCCCAGCAGUUAGCUGUUCAAGAUCUGGUAAUUUUGUGGAGCUAUAAUGGAAAACUUGGGGUUUGUACCGUUAGGAAAGUCUUUGACCACCGAAUGCGAUCCCAACGUGUUCUGAGCUUGUUCUAAAACUGACCGUGACGAAACCAUAGAGACCUCUUGGAAUGUGUGUGCGUGGUGAGUUUUCUGGUGCAGUCACAGCAUCAAAGGUGCAGGGAGCACAGCAAUAAAAGUGACUGAUAAGAGCACCUUUUGUUUGAUUUGGGGUCAAACCACGCUGUCCGGGUUCCGUUUCACUGAGAGGGAAGAUUCUGGGAUGCUUCUAACUGUAAGGAAGAAAAUGUACGUGGAAAUGCAGUGCAAAUGCACAUAUAAUGUAUGUUUAUUUACAGCCAGCCAGAAAACAAAGGAAUCGGUGGUUUCUAGUAACACGAUUCUAGUCAAAAUAGCUUUUUAUUAAGUCGUCUUCGAAGUGUUAAAACGGUGGAGCCACAGACAAAACAUUUGUUACCUUUUGAAAUGAGUUACAAUGGUUUUGUCAUACCUGUACAAGUAUUAUAAGGUCAGUCUUUCUAUAUGUUUGUUUUACAACUUGUAGAAUAGUCUUCUAUGCAUAGCUGUUCCACUUGCCUGUGUAAGUUACAAAUUUAACAGAAAUGAAAGCAUGCAUUUUUCUCUGUUUGCUGGUAACCUAUGAAAUUAGAAACUUGUAUUUCUGUGUUUUUAAUGUGUUAUACUAUAAACAAAAUUCACAGCACUAUUGUCUAUGGAAUAUCAAAAAGUUUUAUUAGAAUGAAUUACUUUAAAUGUUUUGUCAUUUGAUUUAAUAAUGUGUCAGACAUCUACACUAAGACAAUAUAAUGUUUAUCAAUAAAAAUAUCCUCUCUUUGUACUAACUUAACACUUCAGGGUGUGCUUGGACAUAGGAGUAGAGCACCCCUGUGGGUCACAAUCCCAAUGUUCUAUUCAUUUUUGGCCUAAUUCUGAGAAUACUUCGUACCACUCGUUUGAGAGCUGAGCAUUGAAUUAGGGAGUGAAGGAAGAAGAAAAGGGGGGGUUUUAUUCUUUGUCUUUCCUUCGCCACUUGGUGUGUGUUUGCUGGGAAGGUGUGGGGCAGUGGUCCAUGCAGAAGUUGGCUGGCUUGUGUGACCUCUACGUGUCGGAGUCCGUACAGAAACAAACACGUGGGGCAUUUUAUUUGCUCUUAUUGUAAUGAGUCAAAUUCUGCUCCAUUGCAGCAAUGCAGAUCUGAAAUCGCUGCACCGGAGUCAGCUAUUCUCUUCUCACAGCUGGAAGGACUCUGUGCCUGUGACUGUUCAGCCACUGACAGCCGUGGGUAGGAGAUCCAGUCCUCCCUCUGAAGUUUUCUUUCUGGAGUAAUAUUUUCGGUAAUGUUUGGAAUAAUAACGGGGGGGGGUUCUGAUGCAGCAGUUGCCAUUACAGAAAGCUGCAGAAAACCUGUGGAAAAGGCUCGUUAAAAGGCACACCUCUGGAGCAGUAAAAUACUUGUGCUGCUUUUUUACUGCACCAGCUGAGCAGAGACUGCAGUUUCCCCCCUAAAUCUGAGCCUGCCGUGGUGACAGGACUCUCCUUGCUUCUCCUCAUGGCUUGAGAAUGUUGGGACCCUUCAGCUGACAUCCUCUCCCCGUUAUACUUUAUCUGAAAGAAGGGCUUGAGAUCCUUGAAUGAAAAGCCCUGUAAUUGGGACCGGCUACCUCACUGUCAUGGUUUCAGCUGGGAUAGAGUUGACUUUCUAAAAUGCCUUUUGCUCGUGUUUCAUAACAGUUGCUGCCAAAAUGGUGUCUUUCUUCUGAAGCACCCACCGUGUCCACAAGAAGCAGUGGUACGUAUGUCUUAGGCAGGAGAGGUUAUUUAUUUACACCCCCGCAGCUGUUUCCAGGUGCAGAAGAGCCCUUGUGGUGCGGAAAAGGCACACACGCUGAUCCCACCUCUCUGUCCGUGAGCACAGAGAUGAGGUGCUGCCUUUGAUGUUAAUGCAGAAAAUAUCUUCACAUCGGUGCAAGCCCAGCAGUUGCCGCGAAAAUAUUUUCCAUUAGUUCAGUUGUUUGCUUUCCAACUCCGUGUGCUGGCAGCCCAAAAGUUUGGAGCUGUGCCAGUUGGCUGUUGGACUCUGAAGAUACUCUCACUCCCUACCCCCUGCCAAGGUGAUAUGCCAAAUAUGCAUCUUUUUUGAUUCGGCCUAGCGAUUACUUCACUUUAGAAAAAUUUUGUGUAACUUACAGCCUGAAAAGCUAGAAAUUAGUUUUCAGAGGUCAUGGGGAGUAAUUGAAUUUCUAGCCGCUUUUGUUAAAGUUAGGAAAACUGGAGUGUUAAGGCAAGCCAUCAUUGCUUUUGCUGGAGGAGUUAUGGGAAAGUAUCUAUUUCAUAUUCAUGUAUUCACUUUUGCAUUUUUAGAAGCUGUUGCUGUGUCGUCUUUGCCGUUAUUCAUCAGACAUCACAAACCCUGCCUAAGCAAAGAUGUGUGGUUUUAGUGCAGAAUGGAAAAAAUGGAACAUCAGAGCAUGAGUACAAAGUGGUGAAAAGAAAACUAACUCUCCUCUCCUACCUGGCCUUCUCCAUCCAUCAUAAAGAUGCCAAACUAAGGCACAAAUCCUAUUCAUUUUCCCUUUGGAGGUCACUUCUGGCACUUCUUGCUUUACAGAGGCCUGACUUGUGUCUUUGCCACCCUGAGAGCUAUUUGCUUUGAAAUACCGCUUCCAGAGGUGAGAGAACUUUUCUCAGUAACCCUUGCAGAUAACCCUCUCCCUCCAGGCUCUGCCCAGUUGAUUUUGACCUGUUUGUUACAUCCUUUGCUGCUUGAAUAAAACUGCAUCUUCCUUGUUCUCAGCAUCGCGUCCUCGGACUGAUAACUUGGAAGUCUUCAGUUGUUCCGAAAUCGUGUGUUGCAAAAGGACUGAUUAAUGAAUGUCUCUGCUGCUGGGGGAAAUGUCUUUUCUUCUUUGUUUUAAUCUUUGGAGUGACAUCUGGAAAAAAAAAAAA